CCAAUAGCGUAUAUUAGUGUUGUUGCGGUUAAAAAGCUCGUAGUUGAAUUUCGGGAUUGGGAUAUAUCGGUCAUGCCUUUAGGGACAUGAAUUGGUGUGUGGUCAAUUCUCACCUUCUGGUGAAUCGGGAUGCUCUUGGGUGUUUCGACGAACUAGGACAUUUACUUUGAAAAAAUUAGAGUGUUUAAAGCGGGCAUUUUUGCUUGAAUACAUUAGCAUGGAAUAAUAAAAUAGGACGGCAUGGUUCUAUUUUGUUGGUUUCUAGGACCACCGUAAUGAUUAAUAGGGAUAGUUGGGGGCAUUAGUAUUCAAUUGUCAGAGGUGAAAUUCUUGGAUUUAUUGAAGACUAACUACUGCGAAAGCAUUUGCCAAGGAUGUUUUCAUUAAUCAAGAACGAAAGUUAGGGGAUCGAAGACGAUCAGAUACCGUCGUAGUCUUAACCAUAAACUAUGCCGACUAGGAAUCAGACGAUGUUAAUUUUUUAAUGACUCGUUUGGCACCUUACG
This 506-nucleotide ribosomal RNA is filed under the name uncultured Glomeromycotina. RNAcentral's name for it is "partial small subunit ribosomal RNA". It matches the Rfam family "Eukaryotic small subunit ribosomal RNA", at positions 591 to 1092 of the family's 1831-position model. Lineage: Eukaryota; Fungi; Glomeromycota. The record is from RNAcentral.